Molecule: long non-coding RNA, 1568 nt
Organism: Gadus morhua (Atlantic cod)
Lineage: Eukaryota; Metazoa; Chordata; Actinopteri; Gadiformes; Gadidae
Exons: 6
Source: RefSeq, a predicted model, not a curated record
AUACAGUAAUAUGGACUAGAUAACUGUACCGAGCUGAACUUGUAACUGUAUUUUGUGUCCCCAGGUGUCUGCCUCCACACCUCCCUGCUGUCACCACUGGUCUAAGAAGUCCAUAAUGGUUAGGUAAGGGCACUUUAACGGUUAGGUUAGGGCAUUUUAACUGUUAGGUAAGGGCACUUUCAGUUUCAGGGCUUGGGCUGAAUAACUUUCUGUAGUUGUUGUGGCCUCUACUAGACUUCAGAAGUAAAAGGAGUUGCUCAAUGUUGUCAUUUGCACAAAUCAAAUGGUACAGCUGGUCAAAUAUGGUAAUUGUAGCACAAGAGUAGCAUUUAAAAGUAGCUGCAUCACCUCCUGUUUGUAGUGGUUGUUACCAUGUGAUCCCAGUGUGAUGUUAUUGCCGUUGUGAUGUCUUGUUUUUAAUCUGAUGAAUGUUGUGUCAACAGUGUGGGAGGCGCAGCUCCAGUACUUGCUUUCUUGAACCUGUGUGAUGCACAAGAUGUUGAUCCAACCGCACAGUGAGCUCUGCAGGGUGGUCAGGACGGCUGUAGACGUGGAGGGCGGGCGGGGAGCCAGGCUCACCAGUGACGUCCUGGGCGAGGCGUGGGGCGCCAGGAGGGACCGAGGCUGACCACCCAGCUGCUCUGAAACGCCCAAGGCCAGGCAAUAUUUUAGUUUUUUGUUUUUUCUUAAUAGUAGUAGUUCUGAUUUUCAUUGUGACAUUUUGCCAAAGCUGUGAUUUGAGAUAAUAUCUUGGGUCAUCCGAGUAGUUGGCUGUUUUUGCCCCUAUUGCUGCUCAUGCUACUAUAGUUUAUACAUUACUCAAUAAGUUUAAAUGUAAACUUAAGAGUUUGAUAUUUGUUACCGCUUUACAAGUGCAAGGGUGUUUGUUACCAGAUGUUAGACGAGCUACCACAGUUGUUACUAGACAUGGAGGUGAAACCACCUGUUUGUCACCAGACAUGGAGGUGAAACCACCUCUUUGUUACCAGACAUUGAGGUGGAACCACCUGUUUGUUACCAGACUUGGAGGUGAAACCACCUGUUUGUCACCAGACAUGGAGGUGAAACCACCUGUUUGUUACCAGACAUGGAGGUGAAACCACCUGUUUGUUACCAGACAUGGAGGUGAAACCACCUGUUUGUCACCAGACAUGGAGGUGAAACCACCUGUUUGUCACCAGACAUGGAGGUGAAACCACCUGUUUGUUACCAGACAUGGAGGUGAAACCACCUGUUUGUCACCAGACAUGGAGGUGAAACCACCUGUUUGUUGUCCAGAAUAGGACCCGUGGUGGAGGGCAGCUAGUGGGGAGCAGUGCUGGAGGACCUGCUGGGAAGGACAUCCCUCGUUGGGCUAAAGACACCCGUCUCUGAGAUGUGAAGGCUGCAGAGGACCCACCAGGAUCCCCUUGGAGGACAACAAUUGGACUACGUGAGGUCUUUGGAAGCACUACAGUUCAGAAUGCCUUCCAAAGAAUGAAGCCCACCCCCCAUGGCUCAGCUAGUGGCGUUCACCGGACCAGGAACCCCGAGACCUGAAGGAGGAGCCGUGCAUCUGGAGCCAUGCA